GAUGAACGCUGGCGGCGUGCCUAAUACAUGCAAGUCGAGCGAACAGAUGAGGAGCUUGCUCCUCUGCCGUUAGCGGCGGACGGGUGAGUAACACGUGGAUCACCUACCUCUAAGACUGGGAUAACUUCGGGAAACCGGAGCUAAUACUGGAUCAUAUAUUGAACCGCAUGGUUCAAUAGUGAAAGACGGUUUUGCUGUCUCUUAUAGAUGGAUCCGCGCCGCAUUAGCUAGUUGGUAAGGUAACGGCUUACCAAGGCGACGAUGCGUAGCCGACCUGAGAGGGUGAUCGGCCACACUGGAACUGAGACACGGUCCAGACUCCUACGGGAGGCAGCAGUGGGGAAUCUUCCACAAUGGGCGAAAGCCUGACGCAGCAACGCCGCGUGAGUGAAGAAGGUCUUCGGAUCGUAAAACUCUUUUAUUAGGGAAGAACAAAAGUAGGAGUAACUAUGCACGUCUUGACGGUACCUAAACAGAAAGCCACGGCUAACUUCGUG
This 497-nucleotide ribosomal RNA is filed under the name uncultured bacterium. RNAcentral describes it as "partial 16S ribosomal RNA". It matches the Rfam family "Bacterial small subunit ribosomal RNA", at positions 28 to 507 of the family's 1533-position model. The record is from RNAcentral.